CAACAGGGAUUGCCUUAGUAACGGCGAGUGAAGCGGCAACAGCUCAAAUUUGAAAUCUGGCCCUCGGGUCCGAAUUGUAAUUUGUAGAGGAUGAUUUUGGUGCGGUAUCUUCCGAGUUCCUUGGAACAGGACGCCUUAGAGGGUGAGAGCCCCGUACGGUUGAAUGCCUAGCCUCUGUAAAUCUCCUUCGACGAGUCGAGUAGUUUGGGAAUGCUGCUCUAAAUGGGAGGUAAAUUUCUUCUAAAGCUAAAUAUUGGCCAGAGACCGAUAGCGCACAAGUAGAGUGAUCGAAAGAUGAAAAGCACUUUGAAAAGAGGGUUAAAUAGCACGUGAAAUUGUUGAAAGGGAAGGAUUUGUGACCAGACUUUUUCUGGGCGGAUCAUCCGGGGUUCUCUCCGGUGCACUUUGCCCAGUAAAGGCCAGCAUCGAUUUUCGGCGGCGGAUAAAAGCAGUGGGAAUGUGGCUCCCUACGGGGAGUGUUAUAGCCCAUUGUAUAAUACGCUGCUGGGGAUCGAGGUACGCGCUUCUGCAAGGAUGCUGGCGUAAUGGUUAUCAAUCA
RNAcentral lists this ribosomal RNA (559 nucleotides) under Pestalotiopsis sp. SGSGf12. RNAcentral's name for it is "eukaryotic LSU rRNA". It matches the Rfam family "Eukaryotic large subunit ribosomal RNA", at positions 66 to 647 of the family's 3401-position model. Lineage: Eukaryota; Fungi; Ascomycota; Sordariomycetes; Amphisphaeriales; Sporocadaceae. The record is from RNAcentral.